UACGUAGGGACCAAGCGUUGUUCGGAUUUACUGGGCGUAAAGGGCGCGUAGGCGGCGCGGUAAGUCACUUGUGAAAUCUCUGAGCUUAACUCAGAACGGCCAAGUGAUACUGCAGUGCUAGAGUGUGGAAGGGGCAAUCGGAAUUCCUGGUGUAGCGGUGAAAUGCGCAGAUAUCAGGAGGAACACCGGUGGCGAAGGCGGAUCUCUGGGCCAUUACUGACGCUGAGGAGCGAAAGCGUGGGGAGCGAACAGG
This 253-nucleotide ribosomal RNA is filed under the name uncultured bacterium. RNAcentral's name for it is "partial 16S ribosomal RNA". It matches the Rfam family "Bacterial small subunit ribosomal RNA", at positions 524 to 776 of the family's 1533-position model. The record is from RNAcentral.